UACAUUGAUUAAAAUACCUAUAAAAACA
RNAcentral lists this small RNA (28 nucleotides) under Bombyx mori (domestic silkworm). RNAcentral describes it as "ovarian small RNA-20485". Lineage: Eukaryota; Metazoa; Arthropoda; Insecta; Lepidoptera; Bombycidae. The record is from RNAcentral.